Long non-coding RNA from Rhineura floridana, 518 nucleotides. RefSeq lists it as uncharacterized. The transcript has 3 exons. NCBI's taxonomy places the organism in Eukaryota, Metazoa, Chordata, Lepidosauria, Squamata, Rhineuridae. The record is from RefSeq and is a predicted model, not a curated record.
AGGAAAACAUCCAAUCUUUUUUGAAGUGUUUGCCCUGAAACUAAUUGUUCCAUCAUUUUAUAGUUUUUCAGCCACCUGAUGAAAAAUUGGAACAGUCAAGAGAGGUCAAAUGUGUUGUCAUGAUCCCAGAGACCAGCAGUGGACAUGAGAGUCAGAAGCUGCAGACUUCCCAGCCAAGGAACUGCUAGACUAGGUGCAGGGCUCUGAGCCUGAUGCUGAGAGAUCAGGAAAUAAAUGUGGUUGAGGAAUAUGAGCUCCUAGAAGAACCUCCUGUAUCCAUAUGGCCAGAAGUUGGACCCUCACAGGUUCUGCAAUCUAAACUUGGCAGAGGUCAGAUAUCUCCACAAUCGCUGCUUGUUUCCUUCUUUAUUGCUGAUUUCUUGUAAUGGUGCCCGCUUGGAUUUUUUUUUUUUAUAUGGCUAUACGUUGCUUUGAGUAUUUUUAAAUAGGGAGGCAAUUAAUACGUUUUAAAAUGACAAAAGAUCAGCAUUUUAUUUAUACAAUGUCUCUCUUGUCAG